Molecule: non-coding RNA, 1033 nt
Organism: Oncorhynchus mykiss (rainbow trout)
Lineage: Eukaryota; Metazoa; Chordata; Actinopteri; Salmoniformes; Salmonidae
Source: RefSeq, a predicted model, not a curated record
CAAGGUAAAAACUAGACGGAGCCGGGAGAGAGAGAGCAAGGUAAAAACUAGUCAGAGACGGGAGAGAGAGCAAGGUAAAAACUAGACAGAGACGGGAGAGAGAGAGCAAGGUAAUAACUAGACAGAGAGCAAGGUAAAAACUAGACAGAGAGCAAGGUAAAAACUAGACGGAGACGGGAGAGAGAGAGCAAGGUAAUAACUAGUCAGAGACAGGAGAGAGAGAGCAAGGUAAAAACUAGUCAGAGACGGGAGAGAGAGCAAGGUAAAAACUAGACAGAGACGGGAGAGAGAGAGCAAGGUAAUAACUAGACAGAGAGCAAGGUAAAAACUAGACAGAGAGCAAGGUAAAAACUAGACGGAGACGGGAGAGAGAGAGCAAGGUAAUAACUAGUCAGAGACAGGAGAGAGAGAGCAAGGUAAUAACUAGUCAGAGAGCAAGGUAAAAACUAGACAGAGACGGGAGAGAGAGAGCAAGGUAAUAACUAGACAGAGAGCAAGGUAAAAACUAGACAGAGAGCAAGGUAAAAACUAGACAGAGACGGGAGAGAGAGAGAGCAAGGUAAUAACUAGUCAGAGACAGGAGAGAGAGAGCAAGGUAAUAACUAGUCAGAGAGCGAGGUAAAAACUAGACAGAGACGGGAGAGAGAGAGCAAGGUAAUAACUAGACAGAAAGCAAGGUAAAAACUAGACAGAGAGCAAGGUAAAAACUAGACAGAGACGGGAGAGAGAGAGCAAGGUAAAAACUAGACAGAGACGGGAGAGAGAGAGCAAGGUAAUAACUAGACAGAGAGCAAGGUAAAAACUAGACAGAGAGCAAGGUAAAAACUAGACAGAGACGGGAGAGAGAGAGCAAGGUAAUAACUAGUCAGAGACAGGAGAGAGAGAGCAAGGUAAUAACUAGUCAGAGAGCAAGGUAAAAACUAGACAGAGACGGGAGAGAGAGAGCAAGGUAAUAACUAGACAGAAAGCAAGGUAAAAACUAGACAGAGAGCAAAGUAAAAACUAGACAGAGACGGGAGAGAGAGAGCAAGGU